RNAcentral lists this ribosomal RNA (119 nucleotides) under Triticum dicoccoides. Lineage: Eukaryota; Viridiplantae; Streptophyta; Magnoliopsida; Poales; Poaceae. The record is from RNAcentral.
GGAUGCGAUCAUACCAGCACUAAAGCACCGGAUCCCAUCAGAACUCCGUAGUUAAGCGUGUUUGGGCGAGAGUAGUACUAGGAUGGGUGACCUCCUGGGAAGUCCUCGUGUUUCAUUCC